UAUGUGAUCGUCUCUCGCAUAUCAAUAAGCGGAGGAAAAGAAACUAACAAGGAUUCCCUUAGUAACGGCGAGUGAAGCGGGAAGAGCUCAAAUUUGAAAUCUUCAAGGUUUUACCUUGACGAAUUGUAGUUUAAAGAAGUGUUUUCUGUUGAAGUUUUGGUAAAAGUUCUUUGGAAUAGGACAUCAUAGAGGGUGAGAAUCCCGUAUUUGACCAUUAUUUUCAGCUGUGUGAUACACUUUCAAAGAGUCGGAUUGUUUGGGAAUGCAGUCCAAAAUGGGUGGUAAAUUUCAUCUAAAGCUAAAUAUUGGCGAGAGACCGAUAGCGAACAAGUACCGUGAGGGAAAGAUGAAAAGAACUUUGAAAAGAGAGUUAAACAGUACGUGAAAUUGUCAAAAGGGAAGCGUUUGACACCAGUGUUGUUUUCUCGAAAAUCAAUUAAAAAGAGUUAGAUUUUGUUGUGUAUUGACCUUAACAGCUUGCAUUUCAAUUUUCUUGCUUUUUUUAAUGCACUUUUCGUUUAACAAGUCAACUAAUCAGUUUCUUUUGUUGUAAAAAGGUCAUUGGAAGGUGGCUUUCUUUUCGGAGAAAGUGUUUAUAGCCUUUGACUCCUGCAAUCGGAGAGACUGAGGUCUGCAGCGUAGAUCCUUCGGGGUUAGAUACAUUUGUGCUAAGUUAUAGCUUUUUAUAGACAACUUGUUGACUAUGAUUAGUCUUGUAGCUUACUCGCUUAUGCUAUUUUACCUACGCUUAGGAUGUUGAAGAUGUAGCACAUCAU
This 776-nucleotide ribosomal RNA is filed under the name uncultured Neocallimastigales. Its description in RNAcentral is "partial large subunit ribosomal RNA". It matches the Rfam family "Eukaryotic large subunit ribosomal RNA", at positions 24 to 620 of the family's 3401-position model. Lineage: Eukaryota; Fungi; Neocallimastigomycota; Neocallimastigomycetes; Neocallimastigales. The record is from RNAcentral.